This 253-nucleotide ribosomal RNA is filed under the name uncultured Mucispirillum sp. RNAcentral describes it as "partial 16S ribosomal RNA". It matches the Rfam family "Bacterial small subunit ribosomal RNA", at positions 524 to 776 of the family's 1533-position model. Lineage: Bacteria; Pseudomonadati; Deferribacterota; Deferribacteres; Deferribacterales; Mucispirillaceae. The record is from RNAcentral.
UACGGAGGGGGCGAGCGUUGUUCGGAGUGACUGGGCGUAAAGAGCACGUAGGCGGUGUUGUAAGUCAUUAGUCAAAGACUAGAGCUCAACUUUAGUAAGGCUAGUGAUACUAUAAUACUAGAGUAUCAGAGAGGAUUGCAGAAUUCCUGGUGUAGCGGUGAAAUGCAUAGAUAUCACGCAGAACUCCGAUUGCGAAGGCAGCAUACCGGCGCCCAACUGACGCUGAAGCACGAAAGCGUGGGUAUCGAACAGG